AUGGAGCCGGUGCAGGGGCAGGUGAGCUACACCGCCGCCGACGCUAACGAGCUCUUCGACUUUUGCGACCGGCACAAGCCCGUGUGCGGCCGCUGCAUCUUCUGUGCCAUGGAGAACUCGGUGCAGCCGUGGAUCCGCGCACUCAACAACGAGCAGCUCAAGGCCUCCGUGGUGUCCCUACGAGGUGAACAACAGGAUGCUCCAUGGCGUGGCGCCUUCUUCCGGCAGCGGCUGGGCGACACCAUCGACGAGCACUUGUUCCAGGAGACGGCAGCGCCCGCACUGUUCAUGAACGACUACAACGUGGAGCACGACAACGCCCCGAAAGCGACACAGGCGAAGUACACGGUGUUGGUCACGGGCGCGCAGAAGCGCGGCGUGGCUGUGGGCAGGACCGGGGUGCUGGGCCAUGUGACGUACCUGGUGGGUGAUGUCAUCCGCGACACGCUCGACAAGCUGGCGGCGAUGGAGCUCCAGCUCCCCGUGUGGAUCAUGGAGCUGGACGCGUCGGCGGCGGACGAGGCGGAGGGCCACAUGUGGCGCUCCCACGGGCAUCUCGUCAACGCUGACGGUGCUCUCAGCGAGGCGGCCGGGAACAGGUUCGUGGUGCGCGGGAUGGUGGACGCCAACGGGCACUUCAAGUUGAGGGGGUUGGACGGCAAGUACUUGGUGGAGCUAGCGGCCCGUGCCGGCGGGAAGGCCAGGCGCGCGUUCGGCAUGUACAAAGGGGGCGCGCCGACGAAGCUCUAG
This 750-nucleotide ribosomal RNA is filed under the name Triticum aestivum (bread wheat). RNAcentral's name for it is "partial small subunit ribosomal RNA". Lineage: Eukaryota; Viridiplantae; Streptophyta; Magnoliopsida; Poales; Poaceae. The record is from RNAcentral.